ACUGACCCUUUUGCUUGUAUUUGACGAUUCUUCUGGAUAAACCCUUUCUAUACUGCGAACCUGGUCUGGUCUCCUCUUUGGUCCUUACUAUUACUGUGCCUUCGGGCCCGUUACAGACAGCAGCUUGAGUGACCAGUAGCUCAUUGAAAGAUAUCUGAAGGCAGAUUCAAGUCUGAAUGAGAGCAACAUCAACGAGCAUAUACGUGCUGCCAUAAGAGUGAGUGAGCUGCAGAGGUCAUGGGCCGAACCUUCACACUCAAGAGAGGGAGAACAUCCAACACAACAAAGCAAUCCAUCAAUAAAAGAAUUAUCGUACAAAUACAUAGAGGACAAAUUUCCAGUGGGCCCUGACACCAAUGGCCCAACACUGAAACAAUGCCAGGCAGUUUCAGAAUUACAUGGGAGAUACUGCUACGACAGAUGGAGGAGGCAGCAGAAACAGAUCCGUAUGGAUGUCAUCAUCGCACAUUACAAGCAUGAAAAGCCAACCCCCAGCCAAGUCCAGAGCUACCUGAAUUGGCAAGGGUGGCUUAAACAAGUCCCAACCGUGGAGGACAUCCUGCUGUAUUGGAAGGCCAGUGAAAAGCCGAAAAUUGAUGCCACAGACAGAAGAAUACAACAUCUUACCAACACUCAGCAGUGGCCAGGAUUGGCUGUUGUAGAUGAUCCAGUCAAAGGAGAAAAAGUUGCGACUCUCCAGGACUUUUAAAAAGGUGACUACAUUUGUGACUACCAUGGGCCGGUCAUUUCUGCAAAGGAAGGGGAUCGGCUGAUGAGGUCGAUGGAGCAGAAUGAAAUGGGAUACUUAUAUUUCUUCUUGGACAGAGGGAAUAAAAGACUCUGUAUCUAUGCCCAGAAUGUCCAUUGCUCCUGUCAGAGUGACCUACCGACAACUUACGGGAGGAAAAUUAACCAUUCCCGUAAAAGGCCAAACCUCAGACCCACCAGUCAAAUAUUUCUCAAAUGACGACAGACCGUACAUAUUGUUUUCUGCAAACGAGGACAUUGAUGCUGGAACAGAACUCCUGUUCGAUUACGGAGUCACAAGAAAGUCAUUCUCUGGUGAGGGGGCAGAUCUUCCCUGGAUUGAUGAGUAGAUCCUCUGAAGUUAAAACUUUGUACAUGUGCACGAACUUUGGCAUGCAGGACUUUGCACUUUUGGCACAUCAUUCAAGUAUCUAAACAGACUUAACACUCUUUACAACAGUUCCAUUCCUAAGUAACACUCAUCUUUACAGUGAAAUUUUAAAACUGAACUAUUUAUUUGUUGCUAAAAUAAUUAUUUGUUUACAGUUUAAUUUUCAUGGAAUACAUUUUGAUUAUAUUUUUAACUUUUUGGAGCAUGGGUAUAUGUGUCUAUUAAAUAUUUAUGUAAAUACCUAUGUCUUCUUAUUCUCAGUAGAUAGAUGCCUACACAGGGCACUUGGUAAAGGUCUUGGCAUGUCCAGCACAGAGAGGCCAAGUACUUAGUUAGGGCCUUAACUUGUUGGAAAUACUAGGACCAAAAGAAGCAGUGGAUGGAAGGGCCUAUUGGAGCACUGUAAGAGAGGACAUGUUUAAGUGCAUAUUCACCAUGUUCCUUUUGAGUUAGCAGAGUUGAAAGACUCUAUACCAUUCCCUGUGUGCCUGUGAAUGGCUCAUUAAAUCAGUUAUAGUUACUUUGAUUGCUCCAUCUGUUACUUGGAUAACUGUGGUAAUUCUAGAGCUAAUACAUGCCAAAGAGUGCUGACCCCCAGGGAUGCAUGCAUUUAUCAGACCAAAACCAAUCCGGUGGCCCCUGCGCCCCGGCGCUUUGGUGACUCUAGAUAGCCUCGGGCCGAUCGCACGUCCCCGUGAUCGCGACGAUACAUUCGGAUGUCUGCCCUAUCAACUUUCGAUGGUACUUUCUGCGCCUACCAUGGUGACCACGGGUAACGGGGAAUCAGGGUUCAAUUCCAGAGAGGGAGCCUGAGAAACGGCUACCACAUCCAAGGAAGGCAGCAGGCGUGGAAAUUACCCACUCUCGACGAGGGGAGGUAGUGACGAAAAAUAACAAUACAGGACUCUUUCGAGGCCCUGUAAUUGGAAUGAGUACACUUUAAAUCCUUUAACAAGGAUCUAUUGUAGGGCAAGUCUGGUGCCAGCAGCCGCGGUGUGAGGUUGUGUCUGCAGUGUGCUCUUUCUGGCCUAUUUUUGACAGAGCGGUGGAAUGAGCCUGAGUAGCCCAGGAGGGGGGGUACCUCCUCGGGGUGCGAGCUUGGGGAGGCCCCCAGAAGAUAUGCCUGGGGCCUUGGCUGGAGGCCUGGAGGAGGAUUUGCCUUCAUCUGAGGCAUUGGUUGAAACUAGCAAAAGGGCCCAUUUUCCAUCUAAGGGGCCUAUGGAUUCCAUU
Long non-coding RNA from Xenopus laevis (African clawed frog), 2368 nucleotides. RefSeq lists it as uncharacterized. NCBI's taxonomy places the organism in Eukaryota, Metazoa, Chordata, Amphibia, Anura, Pipidae. The transcript has 3 exons. The record is from RefSeq and is a predicted model, not a curated record.